RNAcentral lists this ribosomal RNA (484 nucleotides) under uncultured bacterium. Its description in RNAcentral is "partial 16S ribosomal RNA". It matches the Rfam family "Bacterial small subunit ribosomal RNA", at positions 28 to 507 of the family's 1533-position model. The record is from RNAcentral.
AUUGAACGCUGGCGGCAUGCCUUACACAUGCAAGUCGAACGGCAGCGCGGGCUUCGGCCUGGCGGCGAGUGGCGAACGGGUGAGUAAUGCAUCGGAACGUGCCCAGUAGUGGGGGAUAGCCCAGCGAAAGCCGGAUUAAUACCGCAUACGACCUGAGGGUGGAAGCGGGGGACCGAAAGGCCUCGCGCUAUUGGAGCGGCCGAUGUCGGAUUAGCUAGUUGGUGGGGUAAAGGCUUACCAAGGCGACGAUCCGUAGCUGGUCUGAGAGGACGACCAGCCACACUGGGACUGAGACACGGCCCAGACUCCUACGGGAGGCAGCAGUGGGGAAUUUUGGACAAUGGGGGCAACCCUGAUCCAGCCAUGCCGCGUGCGGGAAGAAGGCCUUCGGGUUGUAAACCGCUUUUGUUCGGGAAGAAAUCCUCUGGGCUAAUACCCCGGGGGGAUGACGGUACCGGAAGAAUAAGCACCGGCUAACUACGUG